RNAcentral lists this ribosomal RNA (253 nucleotides) under uncultured Lactobacillus sp. RNAcentral describes it as "partial 16S ribosomal RNA". It matches the Rfam family "Bacterial small subunit ribosomal RNA", at positions 524 to 776 of the family's 1533-position model. Lineage: Bacteria; Bacillati; Bacillota; Bacilli; Lactobacillales; Lactobacillaceae. The record is from RNAcentral.
UACGUAUGGAGCAAGCGUUAUCCGGAUUUACUGGGCGUAAAGGGAGCGUAGGCGGAAAGAUAAGUCUGAUGUGAAAGCCCCCGGCUUAACCGAGGAAUUGCAUCGGAAACUGUGUUUCUUGAGUGCAGAAGAGGAGAGUGGAACUCCAUGUGUAGCGGUGGAAUGCGUAGAUAUAUGGAAGAACACCAGUGGCGAAGGCGGCUCUCUGGUCUGUAACUGACGCUGAGGCUCGAAAGUGUGGGUAGCGAACAGG